AAACCAACAGGGAUUGCCUCAGUAACGGCGAGUGAAGCGGCAACAGCUCAAAUUUGAAAUCUGGCCUCUUGGGGGUCCGAGUUGUAAUUUGUAGAGGAUGUUUCGGGUACCGCCUCGGUUUAAAUUUCUUGGAACAGAAUGUCAGAGAGGGUGAGAAUCCCGUCUUGGACCGGCGGUAGGGCCCAUGUGAAACUCCUUCGACGAGUCGAGUUGUUUGGGAAUGCAGCUCAAAAUGGGUGGUAAAUUUCAUCUAAAGCUAAAUAUUGGCCAGAGACCGAUAGCGCACAAGUAGAGUGAUCGAAAGAUGAAAAGAACUUUGAAAAGAGAGUUAAACAGUAUGUGAAAUUGUUGAAAGGGAAGCGCUUGCAACCAGACUUGAGCGCGGCGGUUCCCCCUUCCUUUUGGUUGGGUUACUCCGCCGUGUCCAGGCCAACAUCGGUUCUGGGGGUCGGUUAAAGGCCCGGGGAAUGUAUCUACUCCUCCGGGGGUAGACUUAUAGCCCCGGGUGUCAUGCGACCACCCGGGACCGAGGAACGCGCUUCGGCUCGGAUGUUGGCGUAAUGGUUGUCAGCGAC
RNAcentral lists this ribosomal RNA (575 nucleotides) under Rhinocladiella similis. RNAcentral describes it as "eukaryotic LSU rRNA". It matches the Rfam family "Eukaryotic large subunit ribosomal RNA", at positions 62 to 648 of the family's 3401-position model. The record is from RNAcentral. Lineage: Eukaryota; Fungi; Ascomycota; Eurotiomycetes; Chaetothyriales; Herpotrichiellaceae.